GACGAACGCUGGCGGCGUGCUUAACACAUGCAAGUCGAACGGAAAGGCCCCUUUGGGGGUCCUCGAGUGGCGAACGGGUGAGUAACACGUGAGUAACCUGCCCUUGACUUCGGGAUAACUUCAGGAAACUGGGGCUAAUACCGGAUAGGAAUCCUUGCUGCAUGGUGGGGGUUGGAAAGCUUCGGCGGUUUUGGAUGGACUCGCGGCUUAUCAGCUUGUUGGUGGGGUAGUGGCUUACCAAGGCUUUGACGGGUAGCCGGCCUGAGAGGGCGACCGGCCACAUUGGGGCUGAGAUACGGCCCAGACUCCUACGGGAGGCAGCAGUGGGGAAUAUUGCACAAUGGGCGGAAGCCUGAUGCAGCAACGCCGCGUGCGGGAUGACGGCCUUCGGGUUGUAAACCGCUUUCAGCAGGGGCGAAGCUUGUGGUGACGGUACCUGCAGAAGAAGCACCGGCUAACUACGUG
Molecule: ribosomal RNA, 465 nt
Filed under: uncultured bacterium
Lineage: Bacteria
Description: partial 16S ribosomal RNA
Rfam family: Bacterial small subunit ribosomal RNA
Source: RNAcentral